Molecule: RNA transcript, 1475 nt
Organism: Eriocheir sinensis (Chinese mitten crab)
Lineage: Eukaryota; Metazoa; Arthropoda; Malacostraca; Decapoda; Varunidae
Exons: 6
Source: RefSeq, a predicted model, not a curated record
UCUGCAGUUAACGAAUAUCGGUUAUCACCGAUAAGGUUUUCCAUUAUCAGUUAUCGGGUAUCGGGAAUAAGGUUAAUUUUCUGUUAUCGUGCCCAUCUAUGGUCGUCACUACCGUCAGCAUUAAUACUUGCUGCGGCAGAGGCACUGGAAACAAUCUUAUGAGCGUUGGUCUUACUAUUGGAGCUCCCGCCCCCCGGCCUCCUCGACCACCACGUCCUCGGGCCAUAUAUGUUCCCACUGGACGGACGUCCUUGGUGCAGUACGAGACGAAUAACAAGUCCCCACGUUGUAUCGUACAAACAACCCUUUGAGCAGAACCAGCAGCCGGAAAUGAUAGAAAAAAAAUAUUACUGAUACUGAACAAGCAAACGCAAACUGUAACGGAAACGAGACAGGAAUGUCACGGGAUUGUGCUCCCGCUGCAAGGGCGCCAACCCACGUACAUCAUCGUCAUCAUCUGCAGGGAAGGUAAACACAGCACGGGGCGCCGCUCUGCAACACGGAGGCUGAGGAUCACCAGCGGCUGUCAGGCGGCAGGGAGAGUAGUGCAGUAUGCUUAGUGUAGAGGAGAGUAGUGCCAGAGGAAGAAAGUAGCAGAGGGCGGCGUGCGGCCCUGCAUUGCAUCAAAUCAGCUGCCCCAUCACGGCCAUGCCCACGCCCAUCAUUCUGGGCCAAGGAGAACCUCGGGUGGCAGGCAGCACAGCGGGGGAGGCGGCGGUGCCAGGCCAGGAGGAAUUUGGCGAUGACAUUUACCAUCUGGCGAGGGAGCAGCCGUGGGUGGUGGCAGCAACUCAUCGAGCGGCGUGGAGGAGGGAGCCGCCAGGGUGGACCACGCCUACAGCCUGCACGUCACCGCCCGCCAUGCACUAAGGGCUGUGGGCGUGCAUGACCGCCAGCCAAAGACUCAGCCCAGAGGAAGAGCCAGGCCAGCACCACCACAGGGACAGAGGACGAUGAGGAGAGUGUUCCAACGCUGCUCCAACUCAAGGUUCAUAGGCCACACGCUGAGCCCUGCCAAGAUGUCCUGCCAGGUGGUCGGCCUCCACCCCUACACCUCCCACUGGUUCCUCCUGCUGCCCCACUACAAGGAUGUGCCAAGUAUGCCCUCCAGCCUGCAGUCCUUGGAUGACCCUCCGCGUGCCGUGGAUUAAGGCCAACCUUAACGUGUGCAUAUCUGGUGAGCUCUGGGACCACCCUGCCCUCCCUCACCCACAGGGAUGAGCUUAUCAAGGAGUGGGCGAAACCCUCCACACUCUGACCUGUGUGUUGGCCCGCCAUGUGUACGCCCUCGGCCUCAGCAGUCUGCCGCUGGAGCGCGUCGGUGAACGGCGACUCGUCAGGAGGGGCUUCACCAAGCGCUCCGGCCUGGAUGUUAGUGCUGAGUGUUGCCUCCCAGAUAGUGAAGUCGGUUAGUCUGAAUUGGUCUUAGAAAUCACUACGUUUACCUCAGUUUACUAAGGAGGAAGUUACACUGA